ACACAAACUGCAAACAAAUUAAAUCGAGUAGUAGCUGAUACUGCCGGACUUGGUCGGAUCGGAGAUGGCCGGAGGAGGAGAUGAGCUGAAGCUUCUUGCGACAUGGUUCAGCCCGUUCGCUUCCAGAGUGAAGUUCGUGUUCCAUCUCAAGGGCCUGAGCUACGAGAACAUCGAGGAGGACCUCAAGAACAAGAGCGAGCUCCUCCUCAAGAGCAACCCCGUGAUCAAGAAGGUCCCCGUGCUCCUCCACAACGGCAAGCCGCUGUGCGAGUCCAUGGUCAUCGUCGAGUACCUCGAUGAGACCUUCGCCGCCGUCGGCCCGUCCGUCGUCCCCGCCGACCCCUACGAACGCGCCGUCGCUCGCUUCUGGGUCUCCUACAUCGACAACAAGGUGAAAUACUCUCUUGUGUACAGUGCAUCUCCCGUGUCAGAGCAUAUGAAAUGGUCUAGCUGAUGUCAAGCAUGAAACGCAUGGCUGUGCAGCUGGUGGCGCCAUGGUUCCAGGUGUUCAGGGGAAAGACGAAGGAGGAGAAGGCGGAGGGGCUGAAGCAGAUGUUCGAGGCAACGGCGGUCAUGGAGGUGGCAUUCAGGGAGUGCUCCAAGGGGAGGCCCUUCUUCGGCGGCGACGCCGUCGGGAUCGUCGACGUCGCGCUCGGCAGCCAGCUUGGGUGGCUGCGCGCGUCGGAGACGCUGUCCGGGAUCAAGCUGUUCGACCCGGCCAAGACGCCGCUCCUGCUGGCGUGGGCGGAGCGCUUCCUCGCGCUGGACGCGGCGAAGGCGUCCAUGCCGGAGUCCGGUAGGCUGCUCGCGUAUGCCAAGAUGAGGCAGGCCGAGACCGAUGCCGCCAAUGCAAGCAAGUGAUCACCUGCGAGCUGCGACGUCGCUCUACUGCGAGGAACGAACCCCUGCACAUGUUUUUUUGGGGGGAAUCGAGUUAAAAUAAUAUGGCACGUGCACGGUGGUGGCACGACUGUUGCACGACUGGAAAUUGUGUUUUCCUAUGACCAAUAAAAUAAAAUAUUCUGCACACAAAAUAAAAAGGCGACAGACCUUAAAAAAUGAACAUGCCAAAAGGUUGACACUUAAACAAAUCUCUCUAUCUGCCUGCCUAUCAAUUCCUGUGUGUCACAGUAUAUUAUAAGAGCAUGUUUACCGUCCAGCAAGUUUUACCCCCCAGUAUAGGUACCCGUUGUUACCAAAACUAAUCCGACCGUUGAAUCCGGGAUGGGUAGGAUCGGGAGAGAAAAUGAGCAGGGGUGCGCUCAAUCCCGGCGCCAACGGCGUGUGAGUAGGAGCGGCGGAGUUGAAGUCAUCGUUCCCAGUGUCGACGGGCGGAGAAGGAGGAUUCCUUCCUGGUGCCGACGGAAGGAGAAAGAGGAUUCUUUCCCAGCGCCAAGGGGCCUAGGAGGAUAAGUCCUUCCCGGCGGCAAGGGGCGGACGAGGAGGAGUUCUUUUGCGGCACAAUGCGGACGAGAUCGACGCACUCCAGGCGGCGAUGGCGUUGGUGGGAACAUCACCCUAUCCGCCCAUCUAUUCCUCCCAUCCAUCUAUUGCACGUGAAAUUAUAUUUUUGCCCUUCCACCUCUAUUCUCCAAGAGGCACCGUAUCAGGGACAGAAUUGGUACCUCACGGUACCAAACUCUACCAGAUCCAAUGGCCGGGAUUUGAUACCGUAAGGUACCAUUGGAUGGAAAAAAAACUCAUAUUAUAAAGAACUAUUUUGCUAAAAAAAAUAUAUAGUGCCAUAUUUUGUACUUGAUUUCAGUUUUUUCUUAAAAAAAUUGAUAUGUUCCAUGUUUUUUUUUUACUAAAUCACGGGGGGGGGGGGGGGAGAGAUUCCUGAAUUUAUCAUUGCAAUUAGAGGUAAGAAGCUCAUUACAAAAGAUUGAUAGAUUGUAAGGGGGAGGAGAAGAUCUGUUUCCAAACAGAGAUUACAAAUCGAUCAUCUUCCGUUAAGUUCUCUGCCCAGAGAGCUGCCUCGGUGAUGCAUCGGAUAUGUUCCAUGUUAUAUUUAAGUGUGUGCUUUUUAUCCAGUGUGGCCAUCUCGCUCGGCCAACAAGCGACACCGAGGCCGGUCUCGCAUUUUCGCCUUACGAGUUUGCCCGUGUCAUCACGCUUCCAUCAGUAUCACGCGUUCGUCCUACGAUUUCGUCAUGAUUUCGCACUACCCAACCGGGACAACGGUUUAUUUGUGUAAAUCCGUUCUCAUCUCGUAUAUUUCUGAGGAAAUAAAACUUCAACGGUAUAAUUUUAAAUUUAUUUUUCUUAUAUUUUGUGGCGCUCGUGAGGACUAUGGAGUGAUGGUUCUGAAUUUUCUAUAGAGAUUGGUCAACCGAUCAGGAGUAUUACCGAAAACAUAUUCAUCGAGGAAAGACGUGCCGGGUGGUUAUGGCCUGAUUAGGUGAACUUGUUACAGCUUAAGCACAUGUUCUGGCCAUAUUCAAUUAAAUAAUUAAAAGGAUUGUAGCAAAUCCGGAAGAUUACAUAUACUAGGAAAUGAAUCGAGUUGCCAGCUAUACAUAUCCUCUCCAAAUCAAUUGGAUCAGAGACGAAUUAUAUCUUUCCCGGUCUCCUUAUCGAACAAGUUCAGUGUCAAUAUCUCAGGCUUUACGCACCCAACUCCAACUAUAUAUACAUCUCCAAACCAUUCGUUGUGAUCAUCAAGAACACAAACUAGAAACACGAGCAGAAGUAGUAAGAGGUUCAAAUCUCUAGCCACCCCCACAGCCGAGUUCCUGAAACUGAUCGACAGAAAUGGCCGGAGGAGGAGAUGAGCUGAAGCUUUUGGGCACAUGGUUCAGCCCGUUCGUUUCCAGAGUGAAGUUCGUGUUCCACCUCAAGGGCCUGAGCUACGAGAACAUCGAGGAGGACCUCAAGAACAAGAGCGAGCUCCUCCUCAAGAGCAACCCGGCGAUCAAGAAGGUACCCGUGCUCUUCCACAACGGCAAGCCACUCUGCGAGUCCAUGAUCAUCGUCGAGUACAUCGACGAGACCUUCGCCGGCGUCGGCCCGUCCGUCGU
This 3020-nucleotide long non-coding RNA is filed under the name Oryza sativa (Asian cultivated rice). RNAcentral describes it as "long non-coding RNA (OSAT_LNC001882)". The record is from RNAcentral. Lineage: Eukaryota; Viridiplantae; Streptophyta; Magnoliopsida; Poales; Poaceae.